CACGGGGGGAGCAAGCGUUGUUCGGAAUCACUGGGCGUAAAGGGCGUGUAGGCGGUCAGGUAAGUGGGAUGUGAAAUGCCCCGGCUCACCCGGGGACCGGCAUCCCAUACUGCUUGGCUUGAGUACGGGAGAGGAUGUGGGAAUUCCUGGUGUAGCGGUGAAAUGCGUAGAUAUCAGGAGGAACACCGGUGGCGAAGGCGCACAUCUGGCCCGAUACUGACGCUGAGGCGCGAAAGCUAGGGGAGCAAACAGG
RNAcentral lists this ribosomal RNA (253 nucleotides) under uncultured bacterium. Its description in RNAcentral is "partial 16S ribosomal RNA". It matches the Rfam family "Bacterial small subunit ribosomal RNA", at positions 524 to 776 of the family's 1533-position model. The record is from RNAcentral.